GACGAACGCUGGCGGCGUGCUUAACACAUGCAAGUCGAACGGUGAACCUCUUCGGAGGGGAUCAGUGGCGAACGGGUGAGUAACACGUGGGCAACCUGCCCCCGGCUCUGGGAUAACUCCAAGAAAUUGGGGCUAAUACCGGAUGUUCACCGCUUCCCGCAUUGGAGGUGGUGGAAAGGGUUUCCGGCUGGGGAUGGGCCCGCGGCCUAUCAGCUUGUUGGUGGGGUAGUGGCCUACCAAGGCGACGACGGGUAGCCGGCCUGAGAGGGUGACCGGCCACACUGGGACUGAGACACGGCCCAGACUCCUACGGGAGGCAGCAGUGGGGAAUAUUGCGCAAUGGGCGGAAGCCUGACGCAGCGACGCCGCGUGGGGGAUGACGGCCUUCGGGUUGUAAACCUCUUUCAGCAGGGACGAAGCGCAAGUGACGGUAACUGCAGAAGAAGCACCGGCCAACUACGUG
RNAcentral lists this ribosomal RNA (463 nucleotides) under uncultured bacterium. RNAcentral describes it as "partial 16S ribosomal RNA". It matches the Rfam family "Bacterial small subunit ribosomal RNA", at positions 28 to 507 of the family's 1533-position model. The record is from RNAcentral.